UACAGAGGGUGCAAGCGUUAUUCGGAUUUACUGGGCGUAAAGCGUGAGUAGGUGGCUCGCUAAGUCGGUUGUGAAAUCCCUGGGCUCAACCCGGGAACCGCGUCCGAGACUGGCAGGCUCGAAUCCGGGAGAGGGAUGUGGAAUUCCAGGUGUAGCGGUGAAAUGCGUAGAUACUGGGAAGAACACCAGUGGCGAAGGCGGCUACCUGGACCGGUUCUGACGCUGAUGCGCGAAAGCGUGGGGAGCAAACAGG
Molecule: ribosomal RNA, 253 nt
Filed under: uncultured bacterium
Lineage: Bacteria
Description: partial 16S ribosomal RNA
Rfam family: Bacterial small subunit ribosomal RNA
Source: RNAcentral